RNAcentral lists this ribosomal RNA (502 nucleotides) under uncultured bacterium. RNAcentral describes it as "bacterial SSU rRNA". It matches the Rfam family "Bacterial small subunit ribosomal RNA", at positions 899 to 1397 of the family's 1533-position model. The record is from RNAcentral.
ACUCAAAUGAAUUGACGGGGGCCCGCACAAGCGGUGGAGCAUGUGGUUUAAUUCGACGCAACGCGAAAAACCUUACCUGGGUUUGACAUGCCGAGAAUCCUGAUGAAAGUCGGGAGUGCCCCGCAAGGGGAAUUCGGACACAGGUGCUGCAUGGCUGUCGUCAGCUCGUGCCGUGAGGUGUUGGGUUAAGUCCCGCAACGAGCGCAACCCUCAUCCUUAGUUGCCAUCAUUAAGUUGGGCACCCUAAGGAAACUGCCGCAGUUAAUGCGGAGGAAGGUGGGGAUGACGUCAAGUCCUCAUGGCCCUUAUAUCCAGGGCUACACACGUGCUACAAUGGGUGGGAACAAAGGGUCGCCAAACCGUGAGGUGGAGCCAAUCCCAGAAAACCAUCCUUAGUUCGGAUUGGAGUCUGCAACUCGACUCCAUGAAGUUGGAAUCGCUAGUAAUCGCGGAUCAGAACGCCGCGGUGAAUACGUUCCCGGGCCUUGUACACACCGCCCGU